CCCCACCCCAAGUGGCAAAUGUGUGGGAUGAGGCAUGAAGGUAUUCCACCGUCACUUUCGUUGUCCUGGGCAGGAUUGUUAGUUGGAGGUUCUAUCAACCCCCCUCCAUACGCUGUCCCCCCCUCUCCUCAUGGGGGGACAGCACAACGGAGCCAGCCCCACCCCACCCCUACUUCACAGCACAACUGAUCAGGCGAGCUGACUUCUCACCUGAUCAGUUGUGCUGUCUUCUGCCCCACCCCCAAACCCAACAAACCCCAGCCCAGCCCAGCCACACAUCUCCAUCACAGCUGAUCAGCAGCAGUCUGGAAGAAUCACACCCAUCAGAUUGACAUGUGAUAGCUACAUGUUUGCUGACUGGUUUUUCCUCAUGUCUGCAGGUUCCAUCAACCCCCCUCCAUACGCUGUCCCCCCCUCUCCUCAUGGGGGGACAGCACAACGGAGCCUGCCCCACCCGUCACCCCACCCCACCCCAAGUGGCAAAUGUGUGGGAUGAGGCAUGAAGGUAUUCCACCGUCACUUUCGUUAUCCUGGGCAGGAUUGUUAGUUGGAGGUUCUAUCAACCCCCCUCCAUACGCUGUCCCCCCCUCUCCUCAUGGGGGGGACAGCACAACGGAGCCAGCCCCACCCGUCACCCCACCCCUACUUCACAGCACAACUGAUCAGGCGAGCUGACUUCUCACCUGAUCAGUUGUGCUGUCUUCUGCCCCACCCACCAAACCCCAGCCCAGCCCAGCCACACAUCUCCAUCACAGCUGAUCAGGUGGUUGCACCAAGCGCUUCACAGAAACAAAGAACUACUAACAGAUAAGAAACAACAAGAGGAAACAAACAAGGAGUUAGAGAGAAACCUCCGAGCGAAACAAGAAGAAAUCCAAGCCAAGCUCCACAACAUGGCAAAGGAAAAAGAGGGGCUGCAAGUCAAGUUUGACCAAGCGCUUCAAGAAAACACAAAACUACUAGCAGAGAAGAAAAAUCAGGGGGCAACACAUAAUGAAAUGCAGGGUAAAUUCGAAGCGCUGGUCAGCAAAAAUAACCACCUGCAAGGACUGUAUAACAAAGUCUCGUUCAAAAAUAGUGAAAUGCAAGAAGAGAAGCGACAAUAAAAAUAAAGACAUGCAGGCUACUGUUCAAGAACUGGAAAAAAGACAUCAAAAGUUACUGGCCAUCCAUGACAGACCACAACAAACUGGCAACGACAUGUGCGAGGAAAAGAAAGGUCAAGAAGAAAGAUACACAGAUCUGCAAGAAAAGUACAAAGAACUGCAAGAAAAAUAUGAAAAAAGCCAAGACAAAAUUGAACUGGAGAAAAGCACUGAGAAACUUUUCCUUGACAUUACAAACCUCACAGCACAGAACAUCAAACUCCAAGAACUGCUUCAAAAAAAGAAGAAAAAGACUUUCAGGUUUUUCUGGAAGAAGGACUCUUCUUCAGCUGAGCCUGGUCAAGAGUAGCCCCAUCUUAAUCCAACAGGGGAAAAUCAUACAAUAAAUGUUACAAAUAAAUUCACUGUUCUUUAUGGUCUUAUUUAAUGGUAAAAUUGUUUACAAACAGUAGUAGUGGUUCUUAGGAAAAGCUGAAUAACUUAAACUGAGCUUUCUUUAACAAGACUUCCUGUAUUAAGAUGAGUCGGCAGCUUUCAGUUGGAUAACAGGGACCAGUUUAAAAAUAACUCACCUUAAUUGGAAAAUGAAACAUAAGUAACCUCUCACUUUAAUCAUUUGUCAUCACUUUCUAGUAGAAUGAAUGUAUUAGCUUUGAUUAAACCUUUUAAAUGUGUGACAAAUGAAAAAAGUACAAAACGGCAGGGGUCAGUCGGAGCUGCGUAUAUCUUGCUGCUUCUAAAAGCCUCACACAUAUAUGUGGAAUAAUAGUGGAAUUCAUUCACAAUCAUUCUGUAGAGCAUGGAUCUUUGAAACACAGACUUUCACAUGCAGAAGAGAACAGAAAUGAUUAAGAAAACCCCAAACACACAAAAAGGAAGAAUCGUUCAAAGCAGGCAUACCUUAACUUAAAAUCUAAUACUGACACAUCCAACACAAUAUCAGUCUACACAUGUCCCUCAGGAAAUUCACUAUAAUGUAAUGAAAUAAAACAAACUUGAUUCUAUUAUAAGAUGGAGGGAUGUGUUGUUAGAAUAUUUUGGUUUUAGUGAAAGUUUAAACACAUUUUCUUGGUUGUAGCUCAUGAUCCCCCUUUUUGGUUUUUAAAUCAUACUUUAUGUCCCUUUUAGAGAUAGCAGUCCAUGUGUGUCUUUCCUUUACCCAUUAUUCAAUAAAACGACAAAAACCUGCAAAUGAUUGAUGACUGCCUAUUCUCAUUCUAAUCGGAUGAGCCCAUGAUGAUGACUACUUAAACC
Molecule: long non-coding RNA, 2360 nt
Organism: Oreochromis niloticus (Nile tilapia)
Lineage: Eukaryota; Metazoa; Chordata; Actinopteri; Cichliformes; Cichlidae
Exons: 6
Source: RefSeq, a predicted model, not a curated record